AGUGAACGCUGGCGGCGUGCCUAAUACAUGCAAGUCGAACGGGGAUUAAGUAGCUUGCUAUUUAAUCUUAGUGGCGCACUGGUGAGUAAUAUAUAGCUAACUUGCCCAUUACUAAGGUACAACAUUUUGAAACGACUUCUAAUACCUUAUACUCCGUAUCUAUAUAAGUAGAUACGGGAAAGUUUUUCGGUAAUGGAUAGGUCUAUAUCGUAUCAGCUAGUUGGUAAGGUAAUGGCUUACCAAGGCUAUGACGCGUAACUGGUCUGAGAGGAUGAUCAGUCACACUGGAACUGAGACACGGUCCAGAAUCCUACGGGAGGGAGCAGUAGGGAAUAUUGCUAAAUGGGGGAAAACCUGAAGCAGCAACGCCGCGUGGAGGAUGACACUUGUCGGAGCGUAAACUCCUUUUCUUGGGAAAGAACUAUGACGGUACCCAAGGAAUAAGCACCGGCUAACUCCGUG
Molecule: ribosomal RNA, 462 nt
Filed under: uncultured bacterium
Lineage: Bacteria
Description: partial 16S ribosomal RNA
Rfam family: Bacterial small subunit ribosomal RNA
Source: RNAcentral